Molecule: unclassified non-coding RNA, 200 nt
Filed under: Glomeromycetes sp.
Lineage: Eukaryota; Fungi; Glomeromycota; Glomeromycetes
Description: partial contains 5.8S ribosomal RNA and internal transcribed spacer 2
Rfam family: 5.8S ribosomal RNA (bases 1-71)
Source: RNAcentral
GUGAAUCAUCAAAUCUUUGAACGCAUAUUGCACUCUCUGGUAUUCCGGAGAGUAUGCCUGUUUGAGGGUCAUUAAAAAGAAUCUUUAAUCAAUUAUUUCUGGUCAAUGGAAAUGAGUUCUCCGUGUUUAUAGCGGUAGUUUGAACUAAAAGGACAAGAUUUAUUUUAGUCGAGACGUGCAAUAAUAUUAUUCCGCGCUUU